RNAcentral lists this ribosomal RNA (292 nucleotides) under uncultured bacterium. RNAcentral's name for it is "partial 16S ribosomal RNA". It matches the Rfam family "Bacterial small subunit ribosomal RNA", at positions 505 to 796 of the family's 1533-position model. The record is from RNAcentral.
GUGUCAGCCGCCGCGGUAAUACGGAGGGUGCGAGCGUUGUCCGGAUUUAUUGGGUUUAAAGGGUGCGUAGGCGGCCCGUUAAGUCCGGGGUGAAAGCCCGUUGCUCAACAACGGAACUGCCCUGGAUACUGGCGGGCUUGAGUAUAGUGGAGGUUGGCGGAAUGGACCGAGUAGCGGUGAAAUGCAUAGAUACGGUCCAGAACCCCGAUUGCGAAGGCAGCUGACUACACUACUACUGACGCUGAGGCACGACAGCGUGGGGAGCGAACAGGAUUAGAAACCCCUGUAGUCC